RNAcentral lists this ribosomal RNA (1000 nucleotides) under Bacillus subtilis. RNAcentral's name for it is "bacterial SSU rRNA". It matches the Rfam family "Bacterial small subunit ribosomal RNA", at positions 77 to 1023 of the family's 1533-position model. Lineage: Bacteria; Bacillati; Bacillota; Bacilli; Caryophanales; Bacillaceae. The record is from RNAcentral.
GGAAUNCCNNNNNNUGGCUCAGGGGAGGACGGAACACGUGGNUCCCUUGAUAGUUUUAGGCUGAGGCCCGAGUUACACGUGGGUAACCUGCCUGUAAGACUGGGAUAACUCCCGGAAACCGGGGCUAAUACCGGAUGCUUGUUUGAACCGCAUGGUUCAAACAUAAAAGGUGGCUUCGGCUACCACUUACAGAUGGACCCGCGGCGCAUUAGCUAGUUGGUGAGGUAAUGGCUCACCAAGGCAACGAUGCGUAGCCUACCUGAGAGGGUGAUCGGCCACACUGGGACUGAGACACGGCCCAGACUCCUACGGGAGGCAGCANUAGGGAAUCUUCCGCAAUGGACGAAAGUCUGACGGAGCAACGCCGCGUGAGUGAUGAAGGUUUUCGGAUCGUAAAGCUCUGUUGUUAGGGAAGAACAAGUACCGUUCGAAUAGGGCGGUACCUUGACGGUACCUAACCAGAACGCCACGGCUAACUACGUGCCAGCAGCCGCGGUAAUACGUAGGUGGCAAGCGUUGUCCGGAAUUAUUGGGCGUAAAGGGCUCGCAGGCGGUUCCUUAAGUCUGAUGUGAAAGCCCCCGGCUCAACCGGGGAGGGUCAUUGGAAACUGGGGAACUUGAGUGCAGAAGAGGAGAGUGGAAUUCCACGUGUAGCGGUGAAAUGCGUAGAGAUGUGGAGGAACACCAGUGGCGAAGGCGACUCUCUGGUCUGUAACUGACGCUGAGGAGCGAAAGCGUGGGGAGCGAACAGGAUUAGAUACCCUGGUAGUCCACGCCGUAAACGAUGAGUGCUAAGUGUUAGGGGGUUUCCCGCCCCUUAGUGCUGCAGCUAACGCAUUAGCACUCCGCCGGGGAGUACGGUCGCAGGACUGAAACUCAAAGGAAUUUGACGGGGGCCCGCACAGCGGUGGAGCAUGUGGUUUUAUUUCGANCAACGCGAACAACCUUACAGGUCCUUGACAUCCUCUGACAAUCCUNGAGAUUAGGACUCCCCCUUCGG